Molecule: ribosomal RNA, 423 nt
Filed under: uncultured bacterium
Lineage: Bacteria
Description: bacterial SSU rRNA
Rfam family: Bacterial small subunit ribosomal RNA
Source: RNAcentral
AAGACCUUGCGCUUUUGGAGCGGCCGAUGCCUGAUUAGCUUGUUGGUAAGGUAAAGGCUUACCAAGGCUUCGAUCAGUAGCUGGUCUGAGAGGACGGCCAGCCACACUGGGACUGAGACACGGCCCAGACUCCUACGGGAGGCAGCAGUGGGGAAUUUUGGACAAUGGGGGAAACCCUGAUCCAGCCAUGCCGCGUGAGUGAAGAAGGCCUUCGGGUUGUAAAGCUCUUUCAGCCGGAACGAAACGGUUACGGAUAAUACCCGUGACUACUGACGGUACCGGAAGAAGAAGCACCGGCUAACUACGUGCCAGCAGCCGCGGUAAUACGUAGGGUGCGAGCGUUAAUCGGAAUUACUGGGCGUAAAGUGUGCGCAGGUGGUUUUGUAAGUCAGAUGUGAAAGCCCCGGGCUCAACCUGGGAACU